Long non-coding RNA from Neogobius melanostomus (round goby), 1737 nucleotides. The record is from Ensembl. Lineage: Eukaryota; Metazoa; Chordata; Actinopteri; Gobiiformes; Gobiidae.
UGGGACUCCAGCAACUUGCCCGACGCAUGGCGCCGCUUCAAACAACAUGUGGAACUCAUGUUUACAGGACCACUCAAAAAUAGGUCGGAGGAACAAAAAUGCAGUUUCCUAUUGUUGUGGAUCGGGGAUAAAGGACGAGAUAUCAGUAAUACAUGGACUCUCACUGAGGACCAAGCCAAGGAGCUGGAAACGUAUUACAACGGCUUCUCAACAUACCUCACCCCGAAAGCUAACCCCAUUUUCGCCAGAUACAAGUUUCACGAGAAAACGCAAGGCAGCGGUGAGUCAUUUGAGCAUUUCGUCACAGAGCUAAAACUCCUUGUCAAAGACUGUGGCUACGAUAAAAGCGAUGAAAUGGUCCGUGAUCGUAUAGUUUUCGCGACCAACUCCCCGCACGUGAGAGAAAAGCUUCUCAGCCAAGGACCGGAGCUAACGCUAGAGAAAGCCAUAGACAUAGCCCGUUCCUAUGAGCUAGCUAAAUCACAGCUUAAAGCCAUGGCUAACGACAACCACGAAGUACAUGCAGUACGUCGCAGAAGCGGGAAACAAGCCAUCCCAAUGCGAACAAACAAGACAAAUGACAAGGCUUGUACGGCAUGCGGAGGAAAGCAUGACAAGCGAACGGAGUGUCCAGCGAAAGGCAAACAGUGUUUGAAAUGCAGAAAGUUUAACCACUUUGCAAAAGUGUGCAGAUCAAAUCCCAAUAGUCAGAGGAAAACAGGGCACAGGGAGGUGCACACUGUCCAAGAGACUACUGAUUCUGAUCCCGAGCUGUUCAUAGACACUAUAGCAGCAGGUGAGGACAACGAAGACAGUGCAUUUGCUGAUAUACAGCUAGGCCCAGACAAGGUAAAAAUAACCUUCAAGUUAGACACUGGAGCACAAGCAAAUAUUAUACCAGCAGAAGUUUUCACAAAGCUUAACACAUCAUUAAAGAAAGACAAAGACAAGCUGUUUGGAUACGGAGGACACCCACUAAAAGUCAAAGGCCACUGUGAACUAGUGAGCAGAUACAAGGACAAAACAACUGAACAGACAUUUCACGUUGUAGACUGCAAUGGACCACCAAUACUAGGCUUUAAAGCAUGCAAAGCACUAGGCCUCAUCAAGGUAGUGUAUGCAGUCACAAAUGCGAACAAGACAGAGCAGCCCACCCAAGAUACUGGCAUUUUAAGUGAGUACUCAGAUGUUUUCAAAGGUAUUGGUGUAUUUCAAGGCGAGUGUAGUUUCAGAGUAGACCCGAGCGUCACACCAGUCGUAUGUCCACCAAGGAGAGUUCCAUUUGCCCUCAGAGACCGCCUCAAAAUGGAGCUGGCAAACAUGGAAAGAGAUGGGAUCAUAUGCAAAGUUACAGAGCCCACUAAAUGGGUUAACGCACUCGUGAUCUGUGAGAAAGCCCUAACACAUAAACUACGCCUGUGCCUAGAUCCGCGGCCACUAAACAAAGCCAUACUACGACCGUACUACCCACUACCCACUCUCGAAGAUGUAACUCACAAACUAGCGGGAGCAAAGUUCUUCAGCAUUCUCGAUGCACGGUCAGGCUAUUGGGCCAUUAAGUUGAGUGAAGAGUCAUCCUUUCUGACCACCUUCAAUACCAUCUUUGGCAGGUAUCGCUUCCUCAGACUCCCCUUCGGAAUUGUGUCUGCCCAGGAUGAGUUCCAGAGGAGGAUCGAUGAGACAUACGAGGGCCUGGAUGGAGUGGCAGGCAUCGUUGAUGACAUCAUCGUGUUCGGA